This 376-nucleotide unclassified non-coding RNA is filed under the name uncultured Actinomycetes bacterium. RNAcentral's name for it is "uncultured actinobacterium contains 16S-23S intergenic spacer region". The record is from RNAcentral. Lineage: Bacteria; Bacillati; Actinomycetota; Actinomycetes.
UCCGAGUUGACCCCGGCAGUCUCCUUAGAGUCCCCGGCAUUACCCGCUGGCAACUAAGGACAGGGGUUGCGCUCGUUGCGGCACUUAAGCCAACACCUCACGGCACGAGCUGACGACAGCCACGCAGCACCUGUGCUGGCCCCUUACGGAGCCCUGCUUUCACAGGGUUUAACCAGCAUGUCAAGCCCAGGUAAGGUUCUUCGCGUUGCAUCGAAUUAAACCACAUGCUCCACCGCUUGUGCGGGCCCCCGUCAAUUCCUUUGAGUUUUAGCCUUGCGGCCGUACUUCCCAGGCGGGGUGCUUAAUGCGUUAGCUACGGCACCGCAGGAGUCAAAGCCCGCGACACCUAGCACUCAACGUUUACGGCUGGGACUAC